Molecule: ribosomal RNA, 425 nt
Filed under: uncultured bacterium
Lineage: Bacteria
Description: bacterial SSU rRNA
Rfam family: Bacterial small subunit ribosomal RNA
Source: RNAcentral
GUGGGGAAUCUUAGACAAUGGGCGCAAGCCUGAUCUAGCCAUGCCGCGUGAGUGAUGAAGGCCCUAGGGUUGUAAAGCUCUUUCAGCUGGGAAGAUAAUGACGGUACCAGCAGAAGAAGCCCCGGCUAACUCCGUGCCAGCAGCCGCGGUAAUACGGAGGGGGCUAGCGUUGUUCGGAAUUACUGGGCGUAAAGCGCGCGUAGGCGGACUGAAAAGUUGGGGGUGAAAUCCCGAGGCUCAACCUCGGAACUGCCUUCAAAACUAUCAGUCUGGAGUUCGAGAGAGGUGAGUGGAAUUCCGAGUGUAGAGGUGAAAUUCGUAGAUAUUCGGAGGAACACCAGUGGCGAAGGCGGCUCACUGGCUCGAUACUGACGCUGAGGUGCGAAAGCGUGGGGAGCAAACAGGAUUAGAUACCCUUGUAGUCC